RNAcentral lists this small RNA (509 nucleotides) under Arabidopsis thaliana (thale cress). Its description in RNAcentral is "ATSL256080". The record is from RNAcentral. Lineage: Eukaryota; Viridiplantae; Streptophyta; Magnoliopsida; Brassicales; Brassicaceae.
AUUAUGAUGAUUUGAUAUGUUUAGUAUUAGUGGUCUUAAAAAAAUAAUAAAUUAAAGAUUUAAUCCGUAUUGAAACGGUUAAUUAAUUAUAUUUUAAUUUUUUAUUAAUGUUGAUUCAAAAACCCGUCUCUCCAAAUUCGUCUUGCCAAAAAGCCAUUUAUUUUAUUAAUAUUAAUUUUAUUUAUGAUAUGACUCUAAAUUAUAAUCUAAACAUUUUAGCUAAUAACAUAGGAGUGCACCAUAUUUAUUUAAUAGGGAAAUGUAUCAUAUGACCCGAAUGCACUUUUACCCAAAUCCACCAAAAAGGUCUUGCAAAAAUACUAUAGAGAUAAGAAACGAUAGUUAGUUUUGAUAGGUAUAAGAUUAGCAAAUAUAUUAGUUAGCUUAAAUUAGUUAAAGAAUACAAAUUGAAAAGGUAUAUUACACUUUAUUCGAAUAUAGUAUCAAAAUUUAUGUAACACAGAGAUUUGAUAAAUUUUUAAUUGUUGAAUACUUUUUUUUUUGCUAAU